RNAcentral lists this non-coding RNA (139 nucleotides) under Anaerolineaceae bacterium. The record is from RNAcentral. Lineage: Bacteria; Bacillati; Chloroflexota; Anaerolineae; Anaerolineales; Anaerolineaceae.
UGAAUAGUCUGCAACCAAGGUGCCCUGCCGCCCGGAUGCGAGGGCAUAAUGGGGAAGUCCGGUGAAAGUCCGGCGCUGUCCCGCAACUGUAACCCUAAUUUAGGGAAGUCAGAAUACCUGCCCUGGUUGUAGCUCUAAG